GCCUCGGUGGUCUAAUUGCUCAGGACGCUCGUAUGGAAUACAAGAAAUCCGGGUUUGACUCCCGGCCGAGGUA
Molecule: transfer RNA, 73 nt
Filed under: Mycetomoellerius zeteki
Lineage: Eukaryota; Metazoa; Arthropoda; Insecta; Hymenoptera; Formicidae
Description: Trachymyrmex zeteki tRNA
Rfam family: tRNA
About the family: Transfer RNA (tRNA) molecules are approximately 80 nucleotides in length.
Source: Rfam by way of RNAcentral